RNAcentral lists this ribosomal RNA (1295 nucleotides) under metagenome. Its description in RNAcentral is "SSU rRNA". It matches the Rfam family "Eukaryotic small subunit ribosomal RNA", at positions 1 to 1329 of the family's 1831-position model. The record is from RNAcentral.
UCUGGUUGAUCCUGCCAGUAGUCAUAUGCUUGUCUUAAAGAUUAAGCCAUGCAUGUCUAAGUAUAAAUUAUAUACAGUGAAACUGCGAAUGGCUCAUUAAAACAGUUAUAGUUUAUUUGAUAAUAUCUGUUACAUGGAUAACCGUAGAAACCUAGAGCUAAUACAUGCGUAGAGGCCUGACUCAUGGGAGGGCUGUAUUUAUUAGAUACUAAACCAAUAGUCGCAAGACUGUUGUGGCGAAUCAUAAUAACUGAUCGGAUCACACAUGCGUUGUGAUAGAUCUUUCAAGUUUCUGCCCUAUCAGCUUUCGAUGGUAGUGUAUUGGACUACCAUGGCAGUCACGGGUAACGGGGAAUUAGGGUUCGAUUCCGGAGAGGGAGCCUGAGAAAUGGCUACCACAUCUAAGGAAGGCAGCAGGCGCGUAAAUUACCCAAUCCUGAUUCAGGGAGGUAGUGACAAGAAAUAACAAACCGGGGUUCAUUGAACUUACGGGGUUGUAAUGAGGACAAUCCAAACCACUUUACGAGUAACAAUUGGAGGGCAAGUCUGGUGCCAGCAGCCGCGGUAAUUCCAGCUCCAAUAGCGUAUAUUAAAGUUGUUGCAGUUAAAAAGCUCGUAGUUGAAUUUCUGAUCAGGAUAUGUGUCCGUAAAAAAGAUGCAAUACCUAGAUCAUCCUCCUGGGAACUAUAUACGUACUUUAAUGGACGGUAUAAGGAACGGGAAUUUUACUUUGAAUAAAUUAGAGUGUUUCAAGCAGGCUUACGCCCGAAUACUUCAGCUGAGAAUAAUGGAAUAGGACUGGGUUCAUUUUAUUGGUUUUUAUAGAAUUCAGUAAUGAUUAAUAGGGACAGUUGGGGGCAUUAGUAUUUAAUUGUCAGAGGUGAAAUUCUUGGAUUUAUUAAAGACUAACUAAUGCGAAAGCAUUUGCCAAGGAUGCUUUCAUUAAUCAAGAACGAAAGUUAGGGGAUCAAAGACGAUCAGAUACCGUCGUAGUCCUAACUAUAAACUAUACCGACUAGGGAUUGGUAUGGCAUUUAGAACCAUAUCAGCACCUAAUGAGAAAUCAAAGUCUUUGUGUUCUGGGGGGAGUAUGGUCGCAAGGCUGAAACUUAAAGGAAUUGACGGAAGGGCACCACCAGGAGUGGAGCCUGCGGCUUAAUUUGACUCAACACGGGGAAACUUACCAGGUUAAGACAUGGAUAGGAUUGACAGAAUGAGAGCUCUUUCUUGAUUAUGUGGGUGGUGGUGCAUGGCCGUUCUUAGUUGGUGGAGUGAUUUGUCUGGUUAAUUCCGUU